This is a small nuclear RNA of Mustela putorius furo (domestic ferret), 107 nucleotides long. Lineage: Eukaryota; Metazoa; Chordata; Mammalia; Carnivora; Mustelidae. The record is from Ensembl.
GUUCUCGCUUCAGUAGCACGUAUACGAAAAAUGGAAUGAUACAGAGAAGAUUAGCAUGGCCCCUGCUCAAGUAUGAUAUGAAAAUUCAUGAAGCGUUCCAUAUUUUU